AGCGAACGCUGGCGGCAGGCCUAACACAUGCAAGUCGAACGAACCUUUCGGGGUUAGUGGCGGACGGGUGAGUAACACGUGGGAACGUGCCUUUAGGUUCGGAAUAACUCAGGGAAACUUGUGCUAAUACCGAAUGUGCCCUUCGGGGGAAAGAUUUAUCGCCUUUAGAGCGGCCCGCGUCUGAUUAGCUAGUUGGUUGAGGUAAUGGCUCACCAAGGCGACGAUCAGUAGCUGGUCUGAGAGGAUGAUCAGCCACAUUGGGACUGAGACACGGCCCAAACUCCUACGGGAGGCAGCAGGGGGGAAUCUUGCGCAAUGGCGAAAGCCUGACGCAGCCAUGCCGCGUGAAUGAUGAAGGUCUUAGGAUUGUAAAAUUCUUUCACCGGGGACGAUAAUGACGGUACCCGGAGAAGAAGCCCCGGCUAACUUCGUG
This 433-nucleotide ribosomal RNA is filed under the name uncultured bacterium. Its description in RNAcentral is "partial 16S ribosomal RNA". It matches the Rfam family "Bacterial small subunit ribosomal RNA", at positions 29 to 507 of the family's 1533-position model. The record is from RNAcentral.